UACGAAGGGGGCUAGCGUUGCUCGGAAUCACUGGGCGUAAAGGGUGCGUAGGCGGGUCUUUAAGUCAGGGGCGAAAUCCUGGGGCUCAACUCCAGAACUGCCUUUGAUACUGAAGAUCUUGAGUUCGGGAGAGGUGAGUGGAACUGCGAGUGUAGAGGUGAAAUUCGUAGAUAUUCGCAAGAACACCAGUGGCGAAGGCGGCUCACUGGCCCGAUACUGACGCUGAGGCGCGAAAGCGUGGGGAGCAAACAGG
Molecule: ribosomal RNA, 253 nt
Filed under: uncultured bacterium
Lineage: Bacteria
Description: partial 16S ribosomal RNA
Rfam family: Bacterial small subunit ribosomal RNA
Source: RNAcentral